UACGGGGGGGGUAAGCGUUGUUCGGAAUUACUGGGCGUAAAGGGCUCGUAGGCGGCCAACUAAGUCAGACGUGAAAUCCCUCAGCUUAACUGGGGAACUGCGUCUGAUACUGGAUGGCUUGGAUUCGGGAGAGGGAAGCGGAAUUCCGGGUGUAGCGGUGAAAUGCGUAGAUAUCCGGAGGAACACCGGUGGCGAAGGCGGCUUCCUGGACCGACACUGACGCUGAGGCGCGAAAGCUAGGGGAGCAAACGGG
RNAcentral lists this ribosomal RNA (253 nucleotides) under uncultured bacterium. RNAcentral's name for it is "partial 16S ribosomal RNA". It matches the Rfam family "Bacterial small subunit ribosomal RNA", at positions 524 to 776 of the family's 1533-position model. The record is from RNAcentral.